RNAcentral lists this ribosomal RNA (476 nucleotides) under Gemella haemolysans. Its description in RNAcentral is "bacterial SSU rRNA". It matches the Rfam family "Bacterial small subunit ribosomal RNA", at positions 28 to 484 of the family's 1533-position model. Lineage: Bacteria; Bacillati; Bacillota; Bacilli; Caryophanales; Gemellaceae. The record is from RNAcentral.
GACGAACGCUGGCGGCGUGCCUAAUACAUGCAAGUCGAGCGAAGUUUUUCUGGUGCUUGCACCGGAAAAACUUAGCGGCGAACGGGUGAGUAACACGUAAAGAACCUGCCUCAUAGACUGGGACAACUAUUGGAAACGAUAGCUAAUACCGGAUAACAGCAUUAACUGCAUGGUUGAUGUUUAAAAGUUGGUUUUGCUAACACUAUGAGAUGGCUUUGCGGUGCAUUAGCUAGUUGGUGGGGUAAAGGCCUACCAAGGCGACGAUGCAUAGCCGACCUGAGAGGGUGAUCGGCCACACUGGGACUGAGACACGGCCCAGACUCCUACGGGAGGCAGCAGUAGGGAAUCUUCCGCAAUGGGCGAAAGCCUGACGGAGCAACGCCGCGUGAGUGAAGAAGGAUUUCGGUUCGUAAAGCUCUGUUGUUAGGGAAGAAUGAUUGUGUAGUAACUAUACACAGUAGAGACGGUACCUAACC